AUUGAACGCUGGCGGCAGGCCUAACACAUGCAAGUCGAGCGGAUGAAGGGAGCUUGCUCCUGGAUUCAGCGGCGGACGGGUGAGUAAUGCCUAGGAAUCUGCCUGGUAGUGGGGGAUAACGUCCGGGAACGGGCGCUAAUACCGCAUACGUCCUGAGGGAGAAAGUGGGGGAUCUUCGGACCUCACGCUAUCAGAUGAGCCUAGGUCGGAUUAGCUAGUUGGUGGGGUAAAGGCCUACCAAGGCGACGAUCCGUAACUGGUCUGAGAGGAUGAUCAGUCACACUGGAACUGAGACACGGUCCAGACUCCUACGGGAGGCAGCAGUGGGGAAUAUUGGACAAUGGGCGAAAGCCUGAUCCAGCCAUGCCGCGUGUGUGAAGAAGGUCUUCGGAUUGUAAAGCACUUUAAGUUGGGAGGAAGGGCAGUAAGUUAAUACCUUGCUGUUUUGACGUUACCAACAGAAUAAGCACCGGCUAACUUCGUG
This 484-nucleotide ribosomal RNA is filed under the name uncultured bacterium. RNAcentral describes it as "partial 16S ribosomal RNA". It matches the Rfam family "Bacterial small subunit ribosomal RNA", at positions 30 to 507 of the family's 1533-position model. The record is from RNAcentral.